Non-coding RNA from Styela clava, 305 nucleotides. The record is from RefSeq and is a predicted model, not a curated record. Lineage: Eukaryota; Metazoa; Chordata; Ascidiacea; Stolidobranchia; Styelidae.
UGCCAUGGAGAAAGAAAACCCGGGGAACGACGAAAAGAGUGAGCAGGUCGAAGAACAAGCUCAAUAUCAAAUAACUAAAGACAAAGAUGAUAAAGAUUUUGGUAAAGAAGCAUCAAACAUAAAAUUAAAAACUGAAGAUGGAGUUCAGCAGACUGAAACAGUGACAGGUAGCUAUGAUUCUUUUUAAACGCAUGUUUAACUUGUUGCUCAACUUGUUUUGAGUGGGGAUUUGAAUUGAAUUAAUUCUCAAACUGGGGUCGAUAGUUUUUGUAAAAUCGGGGUCUCGAUUUAGAGUCGCUUUGUUU